This 376-nucleotide ribosomal RNA is filed under the name uncultured bacterium. RNAcentral describes it as "bacterial SSU rRNA". It matches the Rfam family "Bacterial small subunit ribosomal RNA", at positions 524 to 898 of the family's 1533-position model. The record is from RNAcentral.
GACGAGCUCUCCAAACGUUAUUCGGAAUCACUGGGCUUAAAGAGUUCGUAGGCGGCUCAGCAGGUCAGGUGUGAAAUCCCACAGCUCAACUGUGGAACUGCGCUUGAAACCGCUGGGCUUGAGGGAGACAGAGGUAAGCGGAACAGAUGGUGGAGCGGUGAAAUGCGUUGAUAUCAUCUGGAACACCGGUGGCGAAAGCGGCUUACUGGGUCUCUUCUGACGCUGAGGAACGAAAGCUAGGGUAGCAAACGGGAUUAGAUACCCCGGUAGUCCUAGCCGUAAACGAUGAGCACUAGUCUGUGGGGACCCUCACAUCCUCUCGGACGUAGCGAAAGUGUUAAGUGCUCCGCCUGGGGAGUAUGGUCGCAAGGCUGAA